Molecule: ribosomal RNA, 385 nt
Filed under: uncultured bacterium
Lineage: Bacteria
Description: bacterial SSU rRNA
Rfam family: Bacterial small subunit ribosomal RNA
Source: RNAcentral
AGCGAACGCUGGCGGCAGGCUUAACACAUGCAAGUCGAGCGGGCACCUUCGGGUGUCAGCGGCAGACGGGUGAGUAACACGUGGGAACGUGCCCAUCGGUUCGGAACAACUCCGGGAAACUGGAGCUAAUACCGGAUACGACCGAGAGGUGAAAGAUUUAUCGCCGAUGGAUCGGCCCGCGUCUGAUUAGCUAGUUGGUGAGGUAACGGCUCACCAAGGCGACGAUCAGAGCUGGUCUGAGAGGAUGAUCAGCCACACUGGGACUGAGACACGGCCCAGACUCCUACGGGAGGCAGCAGUGGGGAAUAUUGGACAAUGGGCGAAAGCCUGAUCCAGCCAUGCCGCGUGAGUGAUGAAGGCCUUAGGGUUGUAAAGCUCUUUCGGC